Molecule: unclassified non-coding RNA, 200 nt
Filed under: soil metagenome
Description: partial contains internal transcribed spacer 2 and large subunit ribosomal RNA
Source: RNAcentral
UGGCUGGUGCUAAAUUGAUUACUUGACUGGUGGUGAAUGUCUGACACUGCUUGUAUUCGAACGCUAUGAAUGAAGCGCAAGUUUCUUAUUGGCCGACAAUGCAGCAGCUAGUUUACUACUGGGUAGAGUUCAACCUUAAGACGCCUUCGGGUGAUCUGAACCAAGGUCUCAAAUCAGGUAGGAAGACCCGCUGAACUUAA